UACAGAGGGGGCAAGCGUUGUUCGGAAUUACUGGGCGUAAAGCGUGCGUAGGUGGUGAGUUAAGUCUGUCGUGAAAGCCCCGGGCUCAACCUGGGAAUGGCGAUGGAUACUGGCUCGCUAGAGUGCGGUAGAGGAGAGUGGAAUUCCCGGUGUAGCAGUGAAAUGCGUAGAGAUCGGGAGGAACAUCAGUUGCGAAGGCGGCUCUCUGGACCAGCACUGACACUGAGGCACGAAAGCGUGGGGAGCAAACAGG
Molecule: ribosomal RNA, 253 nt
Filed under: uncultured bacterium
Lineage: Bacteria
Description: partial 16S ribosomal RNA
Rfam family: Bacterial small subunit ribosomal RNA
Source: RNAcentral